GUAAGGAAUAUUGGUCAAUGGACGCAAGUCUGAACCAGCCAUGCCGCGUGAAGGAUGAAGGUCCUCUGGAUUGUAAACUUCUUUUAUCUGGGACGAAAACGGGAUUUUUAUCUCAAUUGACGGUACCAGAGGAAUAAGCACCGGCUAACUCCGUGCCAGCAGCCGCGGUAAUACGGAGGGUGCGAGCGUUAUCCGGAUUUACUGGGUUUAAAGGGUGCGUAGGUGGGCUUAUAAGUCAGUGGUGAAAUCUCCGAGCUUAACUUGGAAACUGCCGUUGAUACUAUUUGUCUUGAAUAUUGCGGAGNUAAGCGGAAUAUGUCAUGUAGCGGUGAAAUGCUUAGAUAUGACAUAGAACACCAAUUGCGAAGGCAGCUUACUACACAAUCAUUGACACUGAGGCACGAAAGCGUGGGUAGCGAACA
RNAcentral lists this ribosomal RNA (422 nucleotides) under uncultured bacterium. RNAcentral's name for it is "bacterial SSU rRNA". It matches the Rfam family "Bacterial small subunit ribosomal RNA", at positions 354 to 774 of the family's 1533-position model. The record is from RNAcentral.